AGAGGUCAGAGGAGAAUGGCCAGACUGGUUCGAGCUGAUAGAAAGGCAACAGUGACUCAAAUAACCACCCGUUACAACCAAGGUAGGCAGAAGAUCAUCUCUGAACGCACAGUACGUCGAACUUUGAGGCAGAUGGGCUACAGCAGCAGAAGACCACGCCGGGUGCCACUCCUUUCAGCUAAGAACAGGAAACUGAGGCUACAAUUUGCACAAGCUCAUCGAAAUUGGACAAUAGAAGAUUGGAAAAACGUUGCCUGGUCUGAUGAGUCUCGAUUUCUGCUGCGACAUUCGGAUGGUAGGGUCAGAAUUUGGCGUCAAC
Non-coding RNA from Xyrichtys novacula (pearly razorfish), 319 nucleotides. The record is from the annotation of a GenBank genome assembly. Lineage: Eukaryota; Metazoa; Chordata; Actinopteri; Labriformes; Labridae.